AUCUUCACCGUGACACCCCGUCCGGUAUCAAAUCCGGCCUCUUUCAGCCAGUCGCCCUUAAGGUGCAGGCUGGGAUGUUGUGAAUAAUACCGGGCUAUACCGGUUUUGCGGUCCUGGUGGCGGGCUCUG
Molecule: small RNA, 129 nt
Filed under: Shigella flexneri
Lineage: Bacteria; Pseudomonadati; Pseudomonadota; Gammaproteobacteria; Enterobacterales; Enterobacteriaceae
Also listed under: 1 other name
Description: isrA Hfq binding RNA
Rfam family: isrA Hfq binding RNA
Source: RNAcentral